GUUGUUCAAUUUACAAAUAUUAAGCUUGUAUAAAUAACAUGAAAUAUUUCUGUUUCCCUUCAAAACAUAUGCCAAUCUUGAAGAUCACACUUAAUUUUCAGCGGUGUUACAUCUACAUAUCUAAAUCAUGUUAAUACCAAAUGAAAUAGUUAUGGUUUUCCUCCGCCCCCUUGGAGCAGUGGAAGGAAACCCCAUCUAUCGAGAAACUUUCAAGGAGGGAAUAUUUUGGGGUCUGCCAUUUCACCACUGAUGCUGCAAGCACCAACGAGUCAUCUGCUUAAGACUCCUUUCCUUCCAGUGUCCGCCAGAUUACAAGUGAGGACACUGAGGUUGUAAGAGAACUAAUCAUAAAGGGACUGUGCGUAUAUCUUCACGAGGACCCAGCACACCUGUUCAUGGAAUAUGAGGUGAGUCCAACUAAUGUAUCAUUGACAGCAGAAUUUAGAUUACUUUACAAGGACAAGUGUUUUGUUGAUUAUUUGAGUUGAUAAUUUGAGUCCCGGCUGUGUGUGUAACAAUGCUUGUUGUGAAUGUGUGUGUAACAAUGCUUUGAAACCUUUCUACUUCCCCUUCAGGUGGUGAUUGGUCAUAUUUUGCUCCUAUAAAACUUAAUUGAAAUUAUUGUCUGUCCUGU
Molecule: long non-coding RNA, 634 nt
Organism: Solea senegalensis (Senegalese sole)
Lineage: Eukaryota; Metazoa; Chordata; Actinopteri; Pleuronectiformes; Soleidae
Exons: 3
Source: RefSeq, a predicted model, not a curated record